CGCACGCGCCAUCUGUAUAAAAGGCGAGCACCUCCAUUGCGGUGCCCAAUGGGCUGGAGGCUGUGAGCAUCGAGAGCAAGGGCUGCCUGAGCAGCGGACUGUGAAGAGACAGAUGGGACAUCGUUGGAACGCAGGCCCAAGGAGAGGCCCCGUGCAGCUCUCUUCAGGGACCAUCCCGGGGUGCUCGACCUGUCCCUGCAAGAAGAACACCCAUCACCACCAAUCUCUUCAUGCGUCUGCCGUUGGCCACCUUUCCUACCCACCACCAGCCCAACCUGCUUCCUCCCCACACAUCUUGGCCUUGUGGCACUCCUAGCCCCACACUGUGGCCAUGCUGCAUCCUUCUAUCUGUCCUGUAUCAUCUUCUGCUUCUCCACUGGUAUGUGGAGCAUGGGCAGACUGUGCCUGUUCUCUCCUCAGGGCCUUUGCUUCCCUGGCUUUUCCCAGCUGGCACCCACAUGCACACAGCUGUGCAGAUCCUUCCCAAAUAACAGCCUUCAUCCUGUGGGAUGGAAUAAACCUCCUUUCCACACACAGACUUCAA
Molecule: long non-coding RNA, 544 nt
Organism: Melopsittacus undulatus (budgerigar)
Lineage: Eukaryota; Metazoa; Chordata; Aves; Psittaciformes; Psittaculidae
Exons: 3
Source: RefSeq, a predicted model, not a curated record